Long non-coding RNA from Globicephala melas (long-finned pilot whale), 805 nucleotides. RefSeq lists it as uncharacterized. The record is from RefSeq and is a predicted model, not a curated record. Lineage: Eukaryota; Metazoa; Chordata; Mammalia; Artiodactyla; Delphinidae.
UCAAUGUAUAAGAAAGAUGAAUAAAUCAUUUUUCCAACUGUAAUAAGAUCAUUGCAUUUUAAUUACUGAGCCAGGAGAAUCUUUCCUCGGAGCAGAUGUUGAACCCAGGUCAUCUGGGAGAACACCAGGCAAACUCACCAAUAUAAGAUGACCGAAAAGCAGCCUGUGAGGAAAGAUCCUUUUACAAGAUUUUAAGCAGAGGUCUUGUAAUUAAAAGGCACAGGUCUUUUUUGUGGUCCACGGAAGGAAACCCAGGCUCCUUUGCGUUUUAAGCCUUCAUUCGGCAUCCCAGUCCAGUGAGAAGGAAGAGAACCAGCCUCAAACCCUGGACAGGGUCUCCUUGGCUGCCUUUCAAUUCAGUUCAUGUCGAGCAGCUACCUGAUUGGGCUCUGUCUCCAGCCCUGCCUCCUGUGAGUACUUGAAGACAUGGAAGACACGUCUAUCGAUGUCAACCAUAGAAGACAUGGUUGACAACCUUGGGGAAUUUACAAUCCCAUAUAAGAAAACAGCCAACAAAAGGACCAAGAUGUUUGGAUGUUUGCAAGGUGACUUCAGGAUCAUUUAUUAUUCUGUAACCCGGCAAGGAUCAUAUCAGGGCCUACUUCAUGCGCGAGGUGGUGGCACGAGGGUUAAAAUGAAAUCAUACGAAAAGAACUUAGCACCAUGCCAGGCACACUAUACGUACUUAAAAAUAUUAUCUGUGACAUCGUGACUAUUAUAGUUAUUAUGCUACAUGACAGGUCUUUUUUCUUGGCUUCAUCAGCCUGAGACUGAAAUAGUCAUAACAACAGAAAUGAAGAAAGUA